GACCAAAGUCAGCAUUACCUUAAAGGAUCACUAUAGGGUCAGGAAAACAAACAUGAAUUCAUGACCCUAUAGUGUUAACACCACCAUCUAGCCCCCCUGGUCCCCUCAUGUCUUCAUAAAUGUAGCAAAAUCUUACUAUAUUCAAGCCCGAAGCUGUAACUCUGCAUGCUAGACUCAUAAAAACAAGCAGUCUGCUGACAUCAUUAGAAGUGGUGGCCUGAUCCAAUCAUAGUGCUUCCCCAUAGGAUUGGCUGAGACUGACAAAGAGGCAGAUCAGGGUCAGAGCCAGCAUGAUUCAAACACAGCCCUGGCCAAUCAGCAUCUCCUUAUAUAGAUGAAUUUAAUUAAUGAAUCUCUAUGAGGAAAGUUCCGUGUCUGCAUGCAGAGGGAGGAGACACUGGAUGUUUGGAUGCAUUUUAGGCAGCCAUGACCCAGGAAGGAUCUCUAACAGUCAUCUAAGGAGUGGCCAGUGAAGUUAUCACUAGGAUGUAAUGUAAAGACUGCAUUUUCUCUGAAAAGAUAGUGUUUACAGCAAAAAGCCUGACGGUAAUGAUUCUACUCACCAGAACAAAUUCAAUAAGCUGUAGUUGUUCUGGUGACUUUAGUGUCCCUUUAACUAUAUUCAUUGUCACCCAGUCCACACAAGUUUUGUUCCCAUACAUCCCACUUAAGUUUCCAUACUUAAGUAAGAGUAUGUGAAAAGUAGUUAGGGUUGCCACCUUUCUUGGAAAAAAAAGGAGUGACAUAAGAGAAAAUGCUGUAAAAUCACCCAAAAAACUAUUAGUUUGAUUCUGCUGUAUAGAUGGAUUCCUCCCAGUGCCCC
This 823-nucleotide long non-coding RNA is filed under the name Pelobates cultripes (western spadefoot toad). Lineage: Eukaryota; Metazoa; Chordata; Amphibia; Anura; Pelobatidae. The record is from RNAcentral.